AUUGAACGCUGGCGGCAGGCCUAACACAUGCAAGUCGAACGGUAACAGGAAGAAGCUUGCUUCUUUGCUGACGAGUGGCGGACGGGUGAGUAAUGUCUGGGAAACUUCCUGAUGGAGGGGGAUAACUACUGGAAACGGUAGCUAAUACCGCAUAACGUCGCAAGACCAAAAAGGGGGACCUUCGGGCCUCUUGCCAUCGGAUGUGCCCAGAUGGGAUUAGCUAGUAGGUGGGGUAACGGCUCACCUAGGCGACGAUCCCUAGCUGGUCUGAGAGGAUGACCAGCCACACUGGAACUGAGACACGGUCCAGACUCCUACGGGAGGCAGCAGUGGGGAAUAUUGCACAAUGGGCGCAAGCCUGAUGCAGCCAUGCCGCGUGUAUGAAGAAGGCCUUCGGGUUGUAAAGUACUUUCAGCGGGGAGGAAGGGAGUAAAGUUAAUACCUUGGCUCAUUGACGUUACCCGCAGAAGAAGCACCGGCUAACUCCGUG
Molecule: ribosomal RNA, 490 nt
Filed under: uncultured bacterium
Lineage: Bacteria
Description: partial 16S ribosomal RNA
Rfam family: Bacterial small subunit ribosomal RNA
Source: RNAcentral